CCUACGGGAGGCAGCAGUGGGGAAUAUUGCACAAUGGGGGAAACCCUGAUGCAGCGACGCCGCGUGAGUGAAGAAGUAAUUCGUUACGUAAAGCUCUAUCAGCAGGGAAGAAAAUGACGGUACCUGACUAAGAAGCCCCGGCUAACUACGUGCCAGCAGCCGCGGUAAUACGUAGGGGGCAAGCGUUAUCCGGAUUUACUGGGUGUAAAGGGAGCGUAGACGGUGAUGCAAGUCAGAAGUGAAAGCCCGGGGCUCAACUCCGGGACUGCUUUUGAAACUGUGUGACUGGAGUGCAGGAGAGGUAAGCGGAAUUCCUGGUGUAGCGGUGAAAUGCGUAGAUAUCAGGAGGAACACCAGUGGCGAAGGCGGCUUACUGGACUGUAACUGACGUUGAGGCUCGAAAGCGUGGGGAGCAAACAGGAUUAGAUACCCCAGUAGUC
This 440-nucleotide ribosomal RNA is filed under the name uncultured bacterium. RNAcentral's name for it is "partial 16S ribosomal RNA". It matches the Rfam family "Bacterial small subunit ribosomal RNA", at positions 338 to 795 of the family's 1533-position model. The record is from RNAcentral.